Molecule: ribosomal RNA, 253 nt
Filed under: uncultured bacterium
Lineage: Bacteria
Description: partial 16S ribosomal RNA
Rfam family: Bacterial small subunit ribosomal RNA
Source: RNAcentral
UACGUAGGCAGCAAGCGUUGUUCGGAGUUACUGGGCGUAAAGAGUGUGUAGGCGGUCAGCUAAGUUCGGUGUGAAAUCUCCCGGCUCAACUGGGAGGGUGCGCCGAAGACUGGCAGGCUUGAGUGCGGGAGAGGAAAGCGGAAUUCCUGGUGUAGCGGUGAAAUGCGUAGAUAUCAGGAGGAACACCUGCGGUGUAGACGGCUUUCUGGACCGCAACUGACGCUGAGACACGAAAGCGUGGGUAGCAAACAGG